ACCUGGUUGGCUCAUUUGGUGGGAGUGUGUGACUCUUUAAUCUCAGGGUUGUGAGUUUGAGCCCCACAUUGGGUG
Molecule: transfer RNA, 75 nt
Filed under: Felis catus (domestic cat)
Lineage: Eukaryota; Metazoa; Chordata; Mammalia; Carnivora; Felidae
Also listed under: 5 other names
Rfam family: tRNA
About the family: Transfer RNA (tRNA) molecules are approximately 80 nucleotides in length. Their secondary structure includes four short double-helical elements and three loops (D, anti-codon, and T loops).
Source: Rfam by way of RNAcentral